This 274-nucleotide ribosomal RNA is filed under the name uncultured bacterium. RNAcentral's name for it is "partial 16S ribosomal RNA". It matches the Rfam family "Bacterial small subunit ribosomal RNA", at positions 523 to 796 of the family's 1533-position model. The record is from RNAcentral.
AUACGGAGGGUGCAAGCGUUAAUCGGAAUUACUGGGCGUAAAGCGCGCGUAGGCGGUUUGGUAAGUCGGAUGUGAAAGCCCCGGGCUCAACCUGGGAAUUGCAUUCGAUACUGCCAGACUAGGGUAUGGUAGAGGGAAGUGGAAUUCCGGGUGUAGCGGUGAAAUGCGUAGAUAUCCGGAGGAACACCAGUGGCGAAGGCGACUUCCUGGACCAAUACUGACGCUGAGGUGCGAAAGCGUGGGGAGCAAACAGGAUUAGAAACCCUAGUAGUCC